This 269-nucleotide ribosomal RNA is filed under the name uncultured prokaryote. RNAcentral's name for it is "partial 16S ribosomal RNA". It matches the Rfam family "Bacterial small subunit ribosomal RNA", at positions 524 to 792 of the family's 1533-position model. The record is from RNAcentral.
UACGUAGGGGGCAAGCGUUAUCCGGAUUUACUGGGUGUAAAGGGAGCGCAGACGGAACUGCAAGUCUGAUGUGAAAGCCCGGGGCUCAACCGCGGGACUGCAUUGGAAACUGUAGAUCUGGAGUGGCGGAGGGGCAAGCGGAAUUCCUGGUGUAGCGGUGAAAUGCGUAGAUAUCAGGAGGAACACCGGCGGCGAAGGCGGCUUGCUGGACGGCAACUGACGUUGAGGCUCGAAAGCGUGGGGAGCAAACAGGAUUAGAUACCCUGGUA